AACAUCCCGAAAAAGAAAGCAUUUACGUCCCUUGUAAGUUUUACCGCUGGACUUUCUAUUUUCAAUAUGUUCUGUUUUCUGUUUUCUUCCCAUCGAAGACCAAAGCGCGAACAGACCUUAAUAGAAUGUCUGAUAAUCAAAUUCCUGUAAAAUUAAACUACCUUCUUCCCCAACAAUGACUACCGAGUCCUCCUCCAACUCUUCAAUCUUCUGCGCUUCUUUCAAUCAAGAUAACAGUGGUUUUGCAGUUAGCACUCGUGAUGGCUUCAAAAUUUUUGAUCCAAACUCUGGUCGUCUCUGUUAUGAACGAGCUGUUGGAGCUUUUAUCAUAGUUGAAAUGCUGUAUAGUUCUAGUCUUCUUGCUAUUGUUGGAGCUGGUGAGCAGCCUUCUUUAUCCCCACGGCGUCUUUGUUUGUUCAAUACUACCACUGGAACUGCUCUCCGGGAAUUGAAUUUUUUAACUUCAAUUCUUGCUGUUCGUUUAAAUAGAAAAAGGCUUGUUGUUGUUUUGCAAGAAAAGACUUACAUUUAUGACUCAAAUAGUCUUGCAAUACUGGAUACUCUUGAUACAGUUCCAAACACAAAAGGACUAUGUGCAUUCUCCCCCAGUUUGGAUGGUUGUUUUUUGGCUCUUCCUGCUAGUACAACCAAAGGAUCAGUUUUGGUCUAUAAUGUCAUGGAACUCCAGUCACAUUGUGAGAUAGAUGCUCAUCGUGCGCCACUGGCUGCAGUUACCCUUUCUUCAAAUGGAAUGUACAUUGCUACAGCAUCUGAACAGGGAACCAUAAUUAGAGUUCAUCUAGUUCUAGAAGCAACGAAGUCAUAUAGUUUUAGAAGGGGGACAUACCCAUCAACUAUAUUUUCCUUAUCCUUUGGACCUUCAAUGCAACUUCCAGAUAUUCUUGUAGCAGCAAGUUCUUCAGGUUCUAUUCACGUCUUCUCCCUGAGUUUUGCUAUAAAUCAGAGAAGUAGGAGAUCAAGUAGUCUCCUUGGGUCAAUUUUGCCUGAUUCUGUAAAUGAUGCAUUGGAUCCAGCUCAUCAUCAUGUGCUUCAUAAUGCUGUUCCAGCAGGAGUGAAAAGUUAUGUGGUAGUGCGCAAGGUGGACAAGGCUGCUGACACAUCAACUGAAUUUGUUGCUUGUAGAGCCACGCUAUCAAUAAUAACCUUUAAUGGGUACUUCCAGGAGUAUAUUGUAAAUAUUAACAAUCAGAAUGAAUCUAAAUGGACUUUGGAGCGUGAAUUUAAUCUUUUGCCAGCGAUAUCAGGUGAAGAACAACACUUUCAGUUGGUGUGAUAAGAUUCUACUGUUGCUGACAUGAUUAAACUGCUUAAUGGAAAUAAAGAAAGAGAAUCUGGCUGAAGGAUAGACCAAUAUUUAUGUGAUCAGCAUGGACAGACAGCCCAGAUUUGCAAAGUUUUGACAUGUAAGUAAACUGAACUUUGCAUGUCAAUACACAUUUACAAUUGGAUUCUUCAAGCUACAGCAUUGGAGACAUCUUCAAACUGCCUCAAACUUGAAUGUAUUGCUUAGUCUGUUUAUAUGCAAAAGCAAUCAAGGUAAAUCAACGAACAUCUAAAGGAUGUGAACUUAGAUUCAUGACCAGUACGAACAUUGUCAAGCUCAUUGCACUAGACACAUUGAGAACCAGUCAGGUUAACUAAUUAGUUACCUUGAAAAUAUUUAUGGCAAUUGUUC
Manihot esculenta (cassava) is the source of this 1696-nucleotide RNA transcript. It is a transcript of the gene named autophagy-related protein 18b, with no coding region annotated. NCBI's taxonomy places the organism in Eukaryota, Viridiplantae, Streptophyta, Magnoliopsida, Malpighiales, Euphorbiaceae. The transcript has 13 exons. The record is from RefSeq and is a predicted model, not a curated record.